AUGUUCCACUUAAGCAGACCUCUUCUAUAGCUGUAGCUGGAGCUGUAAUUGGAGCUGUCCUUGCCCUUUUCAUCAUUGCCAUCUUUGUGACUGUGCUGUUGACUCCUCGAAAAAAGAGACCAUCCUACCUUGACAAAGUGAUCGACCUUCCACCCACACAUAAACCACCUCCUAUGUAUGAAGGACAGUCCCCCCCUUUGCCUCAGAAAGACCUUCUAUAUCAGACUGAACACUUGCCUCUGCAGACUCAGUUCAAAGGAAGAGAGGUUGGCAGUCUCCAGCGCUCUAAUGGACUGAAUAGCAGAAGAUUUGACUACGAAGGUGAGAAUCCAGUGGGGGAAGAUGGGAUUCAGCAGAUGUACCCCCUCUACAGUCAGAUGUGCUACCAAGACGGGAGUCCUGGCAAGUGUCAUCCAAGCCGUGACCUGGAGAGAGUCUACAUCAACCCACGGGAGCAUUACGUGUGA
RNAcentral lists this long non-coding RNA (467 nucleotides) under Monodon monoceros (narwhal). RNAcentral's name for it is "lncRNA (ENSMMNG00015009212.1)". The record is from RNAcentral. Lineage: Eukaryota; Metazoa; Chordata; Mammalia; Artiodactyla; Monodontidae.